Alosa sapidissima (American shad) is the source of this 2446-nucleotide RNA transcript. It is a transcript of the gene named eukaryotic translation initiation factor 5, with no coding region annotated. Lineage: Eukaryota; Metazoa; Chordata; Actinopteri; Clupeiformes; Clupeidae. The transcript has 17 exons. The record is from RefSeq and is a predicted model, not a curated record.
GGACAAAUGAAAUGGUAGAGCUGCACAGUCAUUUAUAAUCAAUGGGCGGAGUAAGUUGAGGAGCAAGUUAAGAUUCACUGUCACGUUGCAAACGCUCAUUGUGGCAUAGCAUACACGUUGCCUGAAGAGGUAGCUAGCUUGCUGCUAGAGAGAUUCCUCAUUUCAAAGGUGGACAGGCAUCAUCCUUGGAUUUUUUGCUAACCACUGCAAGGUCUAGCCCAACAGUCUUGGCUUAACAUUAGCGGCGUGGUGCUGUAUCUCGUUACAACUGCAUCCAAAAAUUGAUUAUAACCCACAAACUACUUCAUUGCGUCUCUGGGCGACCAGCAUUGUGUUUAUGUCUUUGUUUUACGAAAACGGUGAGUACCCGGACGACAGGAGCCACGGAUGGGAAAGAGCUGUCGUGCAGCUGUCGGAACCUGUGUGGAGGGAACUUAGUCCACAAGCAACGAGCCUGGAGCCUCAGUGGCAACACCUUUUUCAUGUCAGAGACCGAGUCCUCUUGCAGUCGUUUAUGUCAUCCCCCCCUCUCCAGGCAGACAAUACCAAGAAUUGCCAAUUCAAGAUCUUUUCGUCUUGCUGAUAGUACCAACUCAAGGCCAAGAUGUCUGUCAACGUCAACCGCAGCGUGUCAGACCAGUUCUACCGCUACAAAAUGCCCCGUCUGAUUGCUAAGGUGGAAGGCAAGGGUAAUGGAAUAAAAACUGUCAUAGUCAACAUGGUUGAUGUCGCCAAGGCUUUGAACAGGCCACCGACGUAUCCCACCAAGUUUUUUGGUUGUGAGUUGGGCGCUCAGACCCAGUUUGAUUCUAAGAAUGACCGUUACAUUGUCAACGGAUCCCACGAGGCGAACAAGCUGCAAGACAUGUUGGACGGAUUUAUCCGGAAAUUUGUGUUGUGCCCAGAGUGUGAUAAUCCUGAAACAGACCUGCACAUCAAUCCUAAGAAGCAAACCAUUGGGAACUCCUGCAAGGCCUGUGGCUACCGCGGCAUGCUGGACACACGACACAAGCUCUGCACCUUUAUUCUGAAGAAUCCGCCAGAGAAUGAGAGUGGGUCUGUGAAGAAAGAGAAGGAAAAGAAAAACCGCAAGAAGGACAAAGAGAACGGCUCUGGUGGAGAGGCAGCAAACCGUGACGACAUUGAUGCACCUGACGCAGUGGAUGGGGAUGAUGACGAUGAGGACUGGGCAGAGGAGACCACCGAGGAGGCCCAGCGCCGGCGUAUGGAGGAGAUCAGCGAGCACGCCAAGAACCUCACCCUCAGCGAGGACCUGGAGAAGACCCUGGAGGAGCGGGUCAACAUGUUCUACAACUUCGUCAAGCAAAAGAAGGAGGAGGGAGUGAUCGACUCUGCCGAUAAGGACAUCCUGGCUGAGGCGGAGCGGCUGGACGUCAAGGCCAUGGGCCCCCUCAUCCUCAGCGAGCUGCUCUUCGACCAGAACAUCCGUGAGCAAAUCAAGAAGUACAAGCGGCACUUCCUCCGUUUCUGCCACAACAACAAGAAGGCCCAGAAGUACCUGCUGGGUGGCUUUGAGUGUCUGGUGAAACUCUACCAGAUCCAGCUGCUCCCACGCGUCCCCAUCAUCCUCAAGGACCUGUACGACGCAGACAUGCUCGAGGAGGAUGUCAUCCUCGCCUGGGCCGAGAAGAGAAUGGGAGUGGGUCUGUGAAGAAAGAGAAGGAAAAGAAAAACCGCAAGAAGGACAAAGAGAACGGCUCUGGUGGAGAGGCAGCAAACCGUGACGACAUUGAUGCACCUGACGCAGUGAGAAUGAGAGUGGGUCUGUGAAGAAAGAGAAGGAAAAUAAAAACCGCAAGAAGGACAAAGAGAAUGGCUCUGGUGGAGAGGCAGCAAACCGUGACGACAUUGAUGCACCUGACGCAGUGAGAAUGAGAGUGGGUCUGUGAAGAAAGAGAAGGAAAAUAAAAACCGCAAGAAGGACAAAGAGAAUGGCUCUGGUGGAGAGGCAGCAAACCGUGACGACAUUGAUGCACCUGACGCAGUGAGAAUGAGAGUGGGUCUGUGAAGAAAGAGAAGGAAAAUAAAAACCGCAAGAAGGACAAAGAGAAUGGCUCUGGUGGAGAGGCAGCAAACCGUGACGACAUUGAUGCACCUGACGCAGUGAGAAUGAGAGUGGGUCUGUGAAGAAAGAGAAGGAAAAUAAAAACCGCAAGAAGGACAAAGAGAAUGGCUCUGGUGGAGAGGCAGCAAACCGUGACGACAUUGAUGCACCUGACGCAGUGUUCUGCCACAACAACAAGGCCCAGAAGUACCUGCUUGGGUGGCUUUGAGUGUCUGGUGAAACUCCACCAGAGCCAGCUGCUCCCAUGCGUCCCCAUCAUCCUCAAGGACCUGUACGACGCAGACAUGCUCGAGGAGGAUGUCAUCCUCGCCUGGGCCGAGAAGAGAAUGAGAGCGGGUCUGUGAAGAAAGAGAAGGAAAA